UACGUAGGGACCGAGCGUUGUCCGGAUUCAUUGGGCGUAAAGGGCUCGUAGGCGGCUGCUCAAGUCGAAUGUGAAAACUCGAGGCUCAACCUCGAGCCUGCAUUCGAUACUGGGCGGCUAGAGUCUGGUAGGGGGAUCUGGAAUUCCUGGUGUAGCGGUGGAAUGCGUAGAUAUCGGGAGGAACACCAGUGGCGAAGGCGGUUCUCUGGGCCUGUACUGACGCUGAGGAGCGAAAGCGUGGGGAGCGAACAGG
Molecule: ribosomal RNA, 253 nt
Filed under: uncultured bacterium
Lineage: Bacteria
Description: partial 16S ribosomal RNA
Rfam family: Bacterial small subunit ribosomal RNA
Source: RNAcentral